UCCUGGCUCAGAUUGAACGCUGGCGGCAGGCCUAACACAUGCAAGUCGAACGGUAACAGGAAGCAGCUUGCUGCUUCGCUGACGAGUGGCGGACGGGUGAGUAAUGUCUGGGAAACUGCCUGGUGGAGGGGGAUAACUACUGGAAACGGUAGCUAAUACCGCAUAACGUCGCAAGACCAAAGAGGGGGGCCUUCGGGCCUCUUGCCAUCAGAUGUGCCCAGAUGGGAUUAGCUUGUUGGUGGGGUAACGGCUCACCAAGGCGACGAUCCCUAGCUGGUCUGAGAGGAUGACCAGCCACACUGGAACUGAGACACGGUCCAGACUCCUACGGGAGGCAGCAGUGGGGAAUAUUGCACAAUGGGCGCAAGCCUGAUGCAGCCAUGCCGCGUGUAUGAAGAAGGCCUUCGGGUUGUAAAGUACUUUCAGCGGGGAGGAAGGUGCUGUGGUUAAUAACCGCAGCAAUUGACGUUACCCGCAGAAGAAGCACCGGCUAACUCCGUGCCAGCAGCCGCGGUAAUACGGAGGGUGCAAGCGUUAAUCGGAAUUACUGGGCGUAAAGCGCACGCAGGCGGUCUGUUAAGUCAGAUGUGAAAUCCCCGGGCUCAACCUGGGAACUGCAUCUGAUACUGGCAGGCUUGAGUCUCGUAGAGGGGGGUAGAAUUCCAGGUGUAGCGGUGAAAUGCGUAGAGAUCUGGAGGAAUACCGGUGGCGAAGGCGGCCUCCCCUGGACGAAGACUGACGCUCAGGUGCGAAAGCGUGGGGAGCAAACAGGAUUAGAUACCCUGGUAGUCACGCCGUAAACGAUGUCGACUUGGAGGUUGUGCCCUUGAGGCGUGGCUUCCGGAGCUAACGCGUUAAGUCGACCGCCUGGGGAGUACGGCCGCAAGGUUAAAACUCAAAUGAAUUGACGGGGGCCCGCACAAGCGGUGGAGCAUGUGGUUUAAUUCGAUGCAACGCGAAGAACCUUACCUGGUCUUGACAUCCACGGAAGUUUUCAGAGAUGAGAAUGUGCCUUCGGGAGCCGUGAGACAGGUGCUGCAUGGCUGUCGUCAGCUCGUGUUGUGAAAUGUUGGGUUAAGUCCCGCAACGAGCGCAACCCUUAUCCUUUGUUGCCAGCGGUUAGGCCGGGAACUCAAAGGAGACUGCCAGUGAUAAACUGGAGGAAGGUGGGGAUGACGUCAAGUCAUCAUGGCCCUUACGACCAGGGCUACACACGUGCUACAAUGGCAUUUACAAAGAGAAGCGACCUCGCGAGAGCAAGCGGACCUCAUAAAGUAUGUCGUAGUCCGGAUUGGAGUCUGCAACUCGACUCCAUGAAGUCGGAAUCGCUAGUAAUCGUGGAUCAGAAUGCCACGGUGAAUACGUUCCCGGGCCUUGUACACACCGCCCGUCACACCAUGGGAGUGGGUUGCAAAAGAAGUAGGUAGCUUAACCUUCGGGAGGGCGCCUACCACUUUGUGAUUCAUGACUGGGGUGAAGUCGUAACAAGGUAGCC
This 1495-nucleotide ribosomal RNA is filed under the name uncultured bacterium. RNAcentral describes it as "bacterial SSU rRNA". It matches the Rfam family "Bacterial small subunit ribosomal RNA". The record is from RNAcentral.